CCACUUUCAGCAGCACAUAUGCUGUAACUGCACAAUACAGAGAACAUCAGCAUGGCACCAGCAUAGGAAUGACAUGCAAAUCUGUGGCAUGUUCCAUUAUUAU
Small nuclear RNA from Otolemur garnettii (small-eared galago), 103 nucleotides. NCBI's taxonomy places the organism in Eukaryota, Metazoa, Chordata, Mammalia, Primates, Galagidae. The record is from Ensembl.